UCCUGUCACUGCUGUUGCUGAUGGCUGAAGGAGGAGGAGCAUGUCUACCAUGCUCCCUCGCAGUUCCCACAAUUCCCAGCACAGGAGACAUGCUCCUCCUCCUUCAGCUAUCAGCAUCAUCAGUG
This is a non-coding RNA of Pelobates cultripes (western spadefoot toad), 125 nucleotides long. The record is from the annotation of a GenBank genome assembly. NCBI's taxonomy places the organism in Eukaryota, Metazoa, Chordata, Amphibia, Anura, Pelobatidae.